AUAGCGUAUAUUAAAGUUGCUGCAGUUAAAAAGCUCGUAGUUGGAUCUGGGGCUCGGGGUCGUUGUCCAUCGCGACAGUGAUGACGGCGAAACCCAGCUCUCCUUGCCGGUGACUGAUGCAGUGCUCUUCAUUGAGCGCUGUAGCAGCACGGCACGUUUACUUUGAAAAAAUUAGAGUGCUAAAAGCAGGCAUGUUGCCUGAAUAAUGUUGCAUGGAAUAAUGGAAUAGGACCUCGGUUCUAUUUUGUUGGUUUUCGGAGCUUGAGGUAAUGAUUAAGAGGGACGGACGGGGGCAUUCGUAUUGCGGUGUUAGAGGUGAAAUUCUUGGAUCGCCGCAAGACGGACUACUG
This 350-nucleotide ribosomal RNA is filed under the name Catenula sp. KL-2009. RNAcentral describes it as "SSU rRNA". It matches the Rfam family "Eukaryotic small subunit ribosomal RNA", at positions 594 to 945 of the family's 1831-position model. Lineage: Eukaryota; Metazoa; Platyhelminthes; Catenulidae. The record is from RNAcentral.